RNAcentral lists this long non-coding RNA (461 nucleotides) under Jatropha curcas. RNAcentral's name for it is "long non-coding RNA (JCUR_LNC001388)". The record is from RNAcentral. Lineage: Eukaryota; Viridiplantae; Streptophyta; Magnoliopsida; Malpighiales; Euphorbiaceae.
GAAAUGACUCUAAUUUUUAUUUUUAAAAUUUAUUUUCAAUUAUAUUUAGUGAACCGACAGCCUGGAAAUUAAUAUUAAUAUUUUAGUGCAACUACCAUGAUAACCGAACCCAAAACCGAUUGAAAAGUCGAAAACCGAUUGAAAUCGAUGAUUUGGGCCGAAUCAAACCGAAUCAAACCGGUUCGACCCAAACCAUCUAGAAAAUUCUCUUUUUCUUUUAUCUCCAACGCUAAACUCACUCCCCCUCACCAGCGCACCUCCACUCCAUCGCCAUUGCCACCACAGCGCCACUGCCGCCACCCCCUCUCCCUUUUCUUCUUCCUCUCCUUCUUCCUCUUCUUCUUCUCCUUCUUCUUCUUCUUUCCUUUCUUCCUUUUUCUUUCUUUUUCUUUCCUUGUGCCUACGUUCUUGGCGAGCCAGAGGCAACGCAGCAGAGCCGCGCGCCACUGCCACCCCGCCAC